CCUACGGGUGGCUGCAGUGGGGAAUAUUGCACAAUGGGGGAAACCCUGAUGCAGCGACGCCGCGUGAGUGAGGAAGUAUUUCGUUAUGUAAAGCUCUAUCAGCAGGGAAGAAAAUGACGGUACCUGACUAAGAAGCCCCGGCUAACUACGUGCCAGCAGCCGCGGUAAUACGUAGGGGGCAAGCGUUAUCCAGAUUUACUGGGUGUAAAGGGAGAGUAGGCGGUAAAGCAAGUCAGAAGUGAAAACCCAGGGCUCAACCUUGGGAAUGCUUUUGAAACUGAGUAGCUAGAGUGCAGGAGAGGUAAGUGGAAUUCUUAGUGUAGCGAUGAAAUGCGUAGAUAUUAGGAGGAACACCAGUGGCGAAGGCGGCUUACUGGACUGUAACUGACGUUGAGGCUCGAAAGCGUGGGGAGCAAACAGGAUUAGAUACCCCGGUAGUC
Molecule: ribosomal RNA, 440 nt
Filed under: uncultured bacterium
Lineage: Bacteria
Description: partial 16S ribosomal RNA
Rfam family: Bacterial small subunit ribosomal RNA
Source: RNAcentral